RNAcentral lists this ribosomal RNA (301 nucleotides) under uncultured bacterium. Its description in RNAcentral is "partial 16S ribosomal RNA". It matches the Rfam family "Bacterial small subunit ribosomal RNA", at positions 509 to 807 of the family's 1533-position model. The record is from RNAcentral.
CAGUCGCCGCGGGAAUACAGAGGGUGCAAGCGUUAAUCGGAAUUACUGGGCGUAAAGCGCGCGUAGGUGGUUUGUUAAGUUGGAUGUGAAAGCCCCGGGCUUAACCUGGGAACUGCAUCCAAAACUGGCAAGCUAGAGUACGGUAGAGGGUGGUGGAAUUUCCUGUGUAGCGGUGAAAUGCGUAGAUAUAGGAAGGAACACCAGUGGCGAAGGCGACCACCUGGACUGAUACUGACACUGAGGUGCGAAAGCGUGGGGAGCAAACAGGAUUAGAGACCCCUGUAGUCCCUGUCUCUUAUAC